AUAGGUUUGGUCCUGGCCUUUCUAUUAGCUGUUAAUAAACUUACACAUGCAAGAAUCCCCGCUCCAGUGAAAACGCCCUUCAAACCUGUUCAACGGUAAAAAGGAGCUGGUAUCAAGCACACUAAAAGUAGCUCAAGACGCCUCGCAAAGCCACGCCCCCACGGGAGACAGCAGUGACAAAAAUUAAGCAAUAAAUGAAAGUCUGACUAAGUUAUGUUAUUGAGGACUGGUUAAUUUCGUGCCAGCCAUGCGCUGCAAGUUUUUGGCGCUGCUAAAGAAUUCGGCGUAAAGAGUGGGAGAAAGCCAUAGUAUUAAUAAAGCCAAUACUAACUAGGCUGUAAAAAGCUCUAGCUAUAAUAAGAUAUGAAACGAAAGUAGCUUUAAAGAAUCUGAACACACGAUAGCUAGGACCCAAACUGGGAUUAGAUACCCCACUAUGCUUAGCCUUAAACAUAAAAAAUUAUAAACAAAAUUAUUCGCCAGAGUACUACCAGCAAAAGCUAGAAACUCAAAGGACUUGGCGGUGCCUUAUAUCCUUCUAGAGGAGCCUGUUCCAUAAUCGAUAAACCCCGAUCUACCUUACCAAUCUUUGCCUAAUCAGCCUAUAUACCGCCAUCUUCAGCAAACCCUAAAAAGGAAGCAUAGUAAGCGCAAAUACUAGCAUAAAGACGUUAGGUCAAGGUGUAGCCUAUAGAUUGGAGAGAAAUGGGCUACAUUCUCCAAAUCGGAGUAGUACCCACGAAAACUUAUGUGAAAGCCAAAGUUAAAGGUGGAUUUAGCAGUAAACUAAGAAUAGAGUGCUUAGUUGAAUAAGGCCAUGAGGCACGCACACACCGCCCGUCACCCUCCUCAAGUAGAAAAUACCAGUUAUUAUCUAAAACAAAUGGCAUUAACUUAUGAGAGGAGAUAAGUCGUAACAAGGUAAGUGUACUGGAAAGUGCGCUUGGACAACU
Molecule: non-coding RNA, 953 nt
Filed under: Plecotus gaisleri (Gaisler's long-eared bat)
Lineage: Eukaryota; Metazoa; Chordata; Mammalia; Chiroptera; Vespertilionidae
Description: Plecotus teneriffae gaisleri 12S ribosomal RNA
Rfam family: Bacterial small subunit ribosomal RNA
Source: RNAcentral